This 1095-nucleotide ribosomal RNA is filed under the name Penicillium sp. Its description in RNAcentral is "SSU rRNA". It matches the Rfam family "Eukaryotic small subunit ribosomal RNA", at positions 27 to 1135 of the family's 1831-position model. Lineage: Eukaryota; Fungi; Ascomycota; Eurotiomycetes; Eurotiales; Aspergillaceae. The record is from RNAcentral.
UAAGCUGCCAAGAUUAAGCCAUGCAUGUCUAAGUAUAAGCACUUUAUACUGUGAAACUGCGAAUGGCUCAUUAAAUCAGUUAUCGUUUAUUUGAUAGUACCUUACUACAUGGAUACCUGUGGUAAUUCUAGAGCUAAUACAUGCUAAAAACCCCGACUUCAGGAAGGGGUGUAUUUAUUAGAUAAAAAACCAACGCCCUUCGGGGCUCCUUGGUGAAUCAUAAUAACUUAACGAAUCGCAUGGCCUUGCGCCGGCGAUGGUUCAUUCAAAUUUCUGCCCUAUCAACUUUCGAUGGUAGGAUAGUGGCCUACCAUGGUGGCAACGGGUAACGGGGAAUUAGGGUUCGAUUCCGGAGAGGGAGCCUGAGAAACGGCUACCACAUCCAAGGAAGGCAGCAGGCGCGCAAAUUACCCAAUCCCGAUACGGGGAGGUAGUGACAAUAAAUACUGAUACGGGGCUCUUUCGGGUCUCGUAAUUGGAAUGAGAACAAUUUAAAUCCCUUAACGAGGAACAAUUGGAGGGCAAGUCUGGUGCCAGCAGCCGCGGUAAUUCCAGCUCCAAUAGCGUAUAUUAAAGUUGUUGCAGUUAAAAAGCUCGUAGUUGAACCUUGGGUCUGGCUGGCCGGUCCGCCUCACCGCGAGUACUGGUCCGGCUGGACCUUUCCUUCUGGGGAACCCCAUGGCCUUCACUGGCUGUGGGGGGAACCAGGACUUUUACUGUGAAAAAAUUAGAGUGUUCAAAGCAGGCCUUUGCUCGAAUACAUUAGCAUGGAAUAAUAGAAUAGGACGUGCGGUUCUAUUUUGUUGGUUUCUAGGACCGCCGUAAUGAUUAAUAGGGAUAGUCGGGGGCGUCAGUAUUCAGCUGUCAGAGGUGAAAUUCUUGGAUUUGCUGAAGACUAACUACUGCGAAAGCAUUCGCCAAGGAUGUUUUCAUUAAUCAGGGAACGAAAGUUAGGGGAUCGAAGACGAUCAGAUACCGUCGUAGUCUUAACCAUAAACUAUGCCGACUAGGGAUCGGACGGGAUUCUAUGAUGACCCGUUCGGCACCUUACGAGAAAUCAAAGUUUUUGGGUUCUGGGGGGAGUAUGGUCGCAAG